Molecule: non-coding RNA, 83 nt
Filed under: Xanthomonas arboricola
Lineage: Bacteria; Pseudomonadati; Pseudomonadota; Gammaproteobacteria; Lysobacterales; Lysobacteraceae
Description: sRNA-Xcc1
Rfam family: sRNA-Xcc1
Source: RNAcentral
GUCGGGAGGGCGGCUAAUACAAUACCCGCAAGGGGAAUACGCCCGCCGGCUAUGAGCGGUUUCGAACCUCCCGACAUCCCGUC